This 253-nucleotide ribosomal RNA is filed under the name uncultured bacterium. RNAcentral's name for it is "partial 16S ribosomal RNA". It matches the Rfam family "Bacterial small subunit ribosomal RNA", at positions 524 to 776 of the family's 1533-position model. The record is from RNAcentral.
UACAGAGGUCCCAAGCGUUGUUCGGAUUCAUUGGGCGUAAAGGGUGCGUAGGCGGCGCGGUAAGUCGGGUGUGAAAUCUCGGAGCUUAACUCCGAAACUGCAUUCGAUACUGCCGUGCUUGAGGACUGGAGAGGAGACUGGAAUUUACGGUGUAGCGGUGAAAUGCGUAGAUAUCCGGAGGAACACCGGUGGCGAAGGCGGCUUCCUGGACCGACACUGACGCUGAGGCGCGAAAGCUAGGGGAGCAAACGGG